This 1053-nucleotide long non-coding RNA is filed under the name Oryctolagus cuniculus (rabbit). RNAcentral describes it as "lncRNA (ENSOCUG00000034379.1)". The record is from RNAcentral. Lineage: Eukaryota; Metazoa; Chordata; Mammalia; Lagomorpha; Leporidae.
GGCAGCAGGCGGCUCUGUACGCAGCCAUCAGACCCUGCAGGUGGAGUCUCCCCCUCUGACCCGGGACAGGAGAGUCCCUGCCGCCGGCGAUGCCCCCUAAAGCCUCUGCCCCAGUGCUGUGUCUGCCUCCCUGGGGAGCCCCGAAACACAGAGGGCGGCCUCUGAGAACCCCACAGGCGUUGCAUUCACACGGACGGAGUGAUGCUGACGGGCAGACAGCAAUGACAAACACGGGGUAACAAUUCUCUGGUCAAAGACCCUUAGAGCAACAAGAAAAAGGCACCGUGGACACCAGGGUCCCCCGUGACUCUGUCCCUGGCGACUCCCUGGUGGAGAGUCUGCAGCCCCGGAGGAGCCCCCGAUCCUGCUGCACCUUCAAUGUCUCCCACACCUGACUCUGCAGAAGCAGGAACCCUGCAGGAGUGGACAUGGGGGGGGCCUUGAAACUUCUGGGAUAAGGCAUGUGGGGAGCCUGGAAACAGCCAGUGUUUGGGGAGGGUGGGUGCCCUCAGGGGAGGGUCUCUCCCAGCUGGGCACCCCCUCAGCUGUGCCCAGAAAAGGCUCUCAGGGCGGAGGGCGUGAGAAGGCGGCUGCCUCCCGGGCCAGAUUCAGGAGCUGUUACUCAAUAACUGCUGUCUGUGCCGUCCCCACCCUCCCAGGCCCUGCUGCCUGUGUUGCCACAUGAUUCACAGGUCUGAGUUCGUAUAAAAACCACAGAGCCAGGUCCCACCCCAGAGGUGCAGCUGCUCCGCCACCCACUGCCCUGCAGCCGGCUCAGAAGCAUGGUGCUCGGUGGCUGCAAUGGCAGGGCCCUGAGCUCCACCGGGUCUCCCCCGAGGGUGCAGGGCCCAUGCUCUCAGACCGUCUUCUGCUGCUUUCCCACUGCAUAGCAGGAGCUGCAUCAGACGUGGAGCAGCCGGGGCUUGAACCAGGACCCGUGGGUGAUGCCGCUGUCUCAGCUGCCGUCUUCCUCUCUGCCCUCCUGGGCUCGCUCUCGGAAGGAGUCCCAGGGCCUGACGGUCUGUGGCUGUGCCAGCCAGCGCCCAGGUGCGG